AUGGAUUUUAUCUCAGGGCUGCCUUCUUCUAAUCAGUAUGACUCCAUCAUGGUGGUCAUUGACAAGUUUACAAAAUAUGGCCAUUUUGUUCCUGUCAAACACCCAUACACUGCCCAGAAAAUUGCUGAACUUUUCUUGGAUAAUAUUUACAAGCUUCAUGGCAUGCCCCUUUAUAUUGUAUCUGACAGGGAUCUAGUGUUCACAAGCAAAUUUUGGCAAGCUCUAGUGAAGAGGACGGGAGUUGUACUUAAUAUGAGCACGACAUACCAUCCUGAAACAGAUGGACAGACUGGACGUGUUAAUCAGCAGGUGGAGUGUUUUUUGAGGUGUUUCAUCAGUGCUCAUCCGAAGAAAUGGGCAAAAUGGCUCUCACUUUGUGAGUUUUGGUACAACACAAACUGGUAUUCAGCACUUAACAAAUCUCCAUUUGAAGUUCUUUAUGGCCAUGGCCCUCGGCAAUUUGGAAUUUCUGCUUCAGAUUACAUUGACCAUGUUGAUUUGCAGCAAUGGUUAGAUGCUCGGGCAGUUGUUCAGCAGUCAGUGCGCCAACAUUUGUUGCGUGUUCAGCAAAGAAUGAAGCAUCAGGCUGACAAGAAACGCACUGAAAGGACAUUUGUUGUUCGUGAUCGGGUAUUUCUCAAACUUCAACCAUAUGUGCAAUCUUCUGUGGCGCACAGAGCUAAUCACAAGCUCACCUUCAAGUACUUUGUCCCAUUUCUCAUCCUGGAUAAGAUUGGAGAGGUGGCUUAUCGCGUGCAGCUUCCAGCAGCCAGCCGUAUACAUCAUGUCUUCCAUGUUUCACAACUAAAAUGUUGCGUGUAG
Molecule: ribosomal RNA, 822 nt
Filed under: Triticum aestivum (bread wheat)
Lineage: Eukaryota; Viridiplantae; Streptophyta; Magnoliopsida; Poales; Poaceae
Description: partial small subunit ribosomal RNA
Source: RNAcentral